Molecule: ribosomal RNA, 263 nt
Filed under: uncultured Staphylococcus sp.
Lineage: Bacteria; Bacillati; Bacillota; Bacilli; Caryophanales; Staphylococcaceae
Description: partial 16S ribosomal RNA
Rfam family: Bacterial small subunit ribosomal RNA
Source: RNAcentral
CGGACGGGUGAGUAACACGUGGGUAACCUACCUAUAAGACUGGGAUAACUUCGGGAAACCGGAGCUAAUACCGGAUAAUAUUUCGAACCGCAUGGUUCGAUAGUGAAAGAUGGUUUUGCUAUCACUUAUAGAUGGACCAGCGCCGUAUUAGCUAGUUGGUAAGGUAACGGCUUACCAAGGCGACGAUACGUAGCCGACCUGAGAGGGUGAUCGGCCACACUGGAACUGAGACACGGUCCAGACUCCUACGGGAGGCAGCAGAU